AGAGUUUGAUCCUGGCUCAGGACGAACGCUGGCGGCGUGCUUAACACAUGCAAGUCGAACGGAGCACCCCUGAAGGAGUUUUCGGACAACGGAAGGGAAUGCUUUAGUGGCGGACUGGUGAGUAACGCGUGAGGAACCUGCCUUCCAGAGGGGGACAACAGUUGGAAACGACUGCUAAUACCGCAUGAUACGUUGGAGCCGCAUGACUCCGACGUCAAAGAUUUAUCGCUGGAAGAUGGCCUCGCGUCUGAUUAGCUAGUUGGUGAGGUAACGGCCCACCAAGGCGACGAUCAGUAGCCGGACUGAGAGGUUGGCCGGCCACAUUGGGACUGAGAUACGGCCCAGACUCCUACGGGAGGCAGCAGUGGGGAAUAUUGGGCAAUGGGCGCAAGUCUGACCCAGCAACGCCGCGUGAAGGAAGAAGGCUUUCGGGUUGUAAACUUCUUUUAAGGGGGAAGAGCAGAAGACGGUACCCCUUGAAUAAGCCACGGCUAACUACGUG
RNAcentral lists this ribosomal RNA (502 nucleotides) under uncultured Oscillibacter sp. RNAcentral's name for it is "bacterial SSU rRNA". It matches the Rfam family "Bacterial small subunit ribosomal RNA", at positions 8 to 507 of the family's 1533-position model. The record is from RNAcentral. Lineage: Bacteria; Bacillati; Bacillota; Clostridia; Eubacteriales; Oscillospiraceae.